AGGUUUUAAAGAAAUUAAAUG
RNAcentral lists this microRNA (21 nucleotides) under Glycine max (soybean). Its description in RNAcentral is "gma-miR10200". Lineage: Eukaryota; Viridiplantae; Streptophyta; Magnoliopsida; Fabales; Fabaceae. The record is from miRBase by way of RNAcentral.